This is a small nucleolar RNA of Salarias fasciatus (jewelled blenny), 214 nucleotides long. Its record names the gene U3. It matches the Rfam family "Small nucleolar RNA U3". Rfam says of the family: Small nucleolar RNAs (snoRNAs) are involved in the processing and modification of rRNA in the nucleolus. There are two main classes of snoRNAs: the box C/D class, and the box H/ACA class. U3 snoRNA is a member of the box C/D class. NCBI's taxonomy places the organism in Eukaryota, Metazoa, Chordata, Actinopteri, Blenniiformes, Blenniidae. The record is from Ensembl.
AAGACUAUACUUUCAGGGAUCAUUUCUAUAGUUCUUGACUUGAGAAAUGUGUUUCUAAAGUGUUUGGUCUCGCUAACCACGAUGAAGAGUGGAAGUGUUUCUUUCUGAGCGCGAAGCGGGUAGAGAUGGACGAUUUUAUCGACACAUCUCUACUUUUGAUGACCGUUCACUGUCCCUCCGGGGACUCUGAGGGAAGAAACGCAUUCAGAGUGGU